This 102-nucleotide small RNA is filed under the name Paraburkholderia caribensis. RNAcentral's name for it is "Bp1_684". It matches the Rfam family "Burkholderia sRNA Bp1_Cand684_SIPHT". The record is from RNAcentral. Lineage: Bacteria; Pseudomonadati; Pseudomonadota; Betaproteobacteria; Burkholderiales; Burkholderiaceae.
AGAAAAGUAGGUGCCGCCCCGCACAGGGGCGACGCCUGAAGAACGAAAGCAAAUCGCGGAUGCCAGCGCAAAGCCCAAAAAACCAAACAGCUUGUGCCGCAA